UCAUGCAAAAGAGGAAAUCGGGCUUAGUCUCAUGCGAUGGAAGACAGUGUUUAGCCUUAUACAGUUGAGGAGCCAGGGCUUAGCCUCAUGCAAGAAGAGGAGAUAAUACUUAGUCUCAUGCGAUUGAAGAGGCAGUCUUAGCCUUAUGUAGAUUGGAGACAAUACUUAGUCUCAUGCAGGGGAAGGAAGUAUGGAGACAAUGCUUAGUCUCAUGCAUGGAAAGGCAGAGCUUAGCCUUAUGCAGCUGAAGAGGUAAGGCUUAGACUCAUGCAAGAAGAGUAGACAAUGCUUAGUUUCAUACAGGGAAUGGAAAUGCUUAGCCUUAUGAAGAAUGGAGACAAUGCUUUGUCUCAUGCAAGGAAAGGCAAUGCUUAGCCUUAUGCAGAAUAGAGAAAAUGCUUAGUCUCAUGUAGGGAAAGGAAGUGCUUUGCCUUAUGCAGAAUGGAGACAAUGCUUAGUCUCAUGCAGGGAAAGGUAGUGCUUAGCCUUAUUUAGUUGAGGAGGCGGGGCUUAGCCUAAUGAAAGAAGAGGAGACAAUUCUUAGUCUCAUGUAGGGAAAGGCAAUGCUUAGCCUUAUGCAGAAUGGAGACACUGCUUAGUCUCAUGCAAAGAAAGACAGUGCUUAGCCUUAUGCAGUUGAGGAGGUAGGGCUUAGCCUCAUGUAAGAAGAUGAGACAAUUCUUAGUCUCACGCGCUUGAGGAGGCAUGGCUUAGCCUCGUGCAGAAAUAGGAGAUAAUUCUUAGUCUUAUGCAAAGAAAAGGUUGUUGGAAACACGUUUCAAAUGCAAUAUACUAAACGUGUGUUCUUUUGUAGGUUUUGAU
Molecule: long non-coding RNA, 822 nt
Filed under: Nicotiana benthamiana
Lineage: Eukaryota; Viridiplantae; Streptophyta; Magnoliopsida; Solanales; Solanaceae
Description: long non-coding RNA (NBEN_LNC013193)
Source: RNAcentral